UCUCUCUCGCAAUCCACCAGAUCCGCGCCGCCGCCUCUUCUCCCGCCCCCUUCACCUCCUCGGCCUCCUCGCCGCCCCCUCCGCACGACGCCACUGCCACCACCUUCGCGGUGGCUCCCCAGACGCUGCCGCAGCCGCGGAUCCCCACGGGCGUGGCCAUCGCCGCCGCGUAUCCCCACGGCUCUGUCUCCCAUUAACCACGCCUAGCCAUCCAUCGUUCGCCUAGCUACAAUUAUCUGCCCCAAAACAGAUCAACGGGCUAGGUCAAAUCGAGAGGAAAGGAGACAGAGGUGACUCCCACGAGCCGGCACACGCGGUGGCGAACAGGACGACGGGGCGGGGCGGGAGGCGGGGAAAGCCGUCCAUGGCGAUCCUGGCGGCGUUGCUAAUGGCGCUGGUGGCGCUGCUGCUCCUCAUGGUGCUCAACAUGCUCUCUAUGCCAGGCUCCGACGGUGUGGAUCGCGGCGCCACCCUGUCGCUCCCACACACGCGCUUUAGCAGAUCCGCAUUCGAGUCGUGCAUACCUUUAGCCGCCUACCCUCCAAUGUCCACGACUCUGAUCUACAGUGUUCAUUUGUCGUGUAUGCUGCCCCGUUGACUGGUGUCUGUUCUCCGUAUCAUUGUGCAGGAGGCUGGAGAAGAGCAGGGAGAAAGGGGAGUCAUGGACGGAGGUUCUGAUGUAUCAACAUCUUCUCCGAUGCGGGCUGGGAGAUCUCAAGAUUAUUAUCAAGGAUUUUGGGCAAUUAUUGAUUUCCAGAUAAGAACUUGUUGUAAAAUUGACCCAAGUAUUGUAGUUCAGUCUCAAGAAGGCCGAUUGAGGUUUAGUUAUGAUGUGACAAUUUCCACAGGAUGCUGAUGUGCACGUGGGCUUUCCUAGCUAAGUUGGGGCUCAAAAUCAAGUAUUCGGGCACAUGGGCUUGAGACAAGGAAGCACGUCCUUAUUUAAUGGAGAAUGGUUUGGUCCGGGCAUGGUUGGUGAUUCCCAGGGUUGCCGGUCUCCAUCUCUGCUGUCCAAUGAUUCUUUUAUUACAGUUGAAGGCGCAUGUGAUUGGUGUGCAAGCCAGACCUGUGGGACGACCAACAGAACAUCCUUGAGAAGACGAUGGCACCCAUCAUGCAAUCGUUCCAUGGGAUUGUGACCUGCAUUGAGAUUUCAGUGCUCUGCGCUUCGCCAGACUGAGAUCAAAAAGACCCCCAUUGUAUCAAUUUACAUUCGUAACAUUUUAUUAUGUCAAUUUGUUGAUUGUUCACAAUGACACUGGAUAUUCUAACAGUUGCUCAGCCUC
Molecule: long non-coding RNA, 1286 nt
Organism: Triticum dicoccoides
Lineage: Eukaryota; Viridiplantae; Streptophyta; Magnoliopsida; Poales; Poaceae
Exons: 3
Source: RefSeq, a predicted model, not a curated record